RNAcentral lists this transfer RNA (73 nucleotides) under Bacteroidota bacterium. RNAcentral describes it as "tRNA-Ala". It matches the Rfam family "tRNA". From Rfam's summary of the family: Transfer RNA (tRNA) molecules are approximately 80 nucleotides in length. Their secondary structure includes four short double-helical elements and three loops (D, anti-codon, and T loops). RNAcentral also lists the same sequence under 3 other names. The record is from RNAcentral. Lineage: Bacteria; Pseudomonadati; Bacteroidota.
GGGCCUGUGGCUCAGUUGGGAGAGCGCUUCAAUCGCACUGAAGAGGUCGCGGGUUCGAAUCCCGCCAGGUCCA